This 526-nucleotide unclassified non-coding RNA is filed under the name Dendronephthya gigantea. Its description in RNAcentral is "uncharacterized LOC114519774, transcript variant X4". The record is from RNAcentral. Lineage: Eukaryota; Metazoa; Cnidaria; Anthozoa; Malacalcyonacea; Nephtheidae.
UAUAUAUUGUCUACAAAUCAUGGAAGAGGAAGCGAUUGCUAUGCCUAUGGGAUUGUAUCAACUGAUAACUUCCUAAGAAAGAAAGGACUAUGCAAAAAUACACGAAUGACGUUAUAUGUGAUAAAAACAACUCACCCCGGCGGCUCGUGGCCACUUUGCUUUGUUCUUAUCACUGACACGAAUGGCAUUAUCCGGUGAAUCUAUAACUGAACAGACAACGGUUCCUUUGAAGGAUCGCUGGCUUCGCUGCUACGACUACGAGAUUGGCUAUAACUGAAUAACCGACUAGCCUGCGUGCAAACGAAUCGCUUGUCGAAGGUUGCAAUUCAAUCGACGAUGUUGUGCUCGGCAGUUUCCUUGAGGGACGACGACACAUUCCCACCAGAGAGAACCACCACGAUUGCCAGAGGCGCCUCACCUUCUGUUUUCCGAUAAGAAGUAUUAAUGUGCCAGCUUGAAAGACGAUUCCAGAGAGCAAGAAUACAAUUACCAGCCCAUAGGAGGUUUCAUAUUCAAGAAAAUCUAG